This is a small nuclear RNA of Pipistrellus kuhlii (Kuhl's pipistrelle), 107 nucleotides long. The record is from RefSeq and is a predicted model, not a curated record. NCBI's taxonomy places the organism in Eukaryota, Metazoa, Chordata, Mammalia, Chiroptera, Vespertilionidae.
GUGCUUGCUUCAGCAGCACAUACACUAAAAUUAAAAUGAUACAGUGAGGAUUAGCAUGGCUCCCGCCCAAGGAUGACACACAGAUUCAUGAAGUGUUCCAUAAUUUU